AUGUGCUUCAUAAAAAUGACUUUGUUAACAUAACAAAGGACACCUUUAUCCCUCUCAACACUUAAGAAAUUCCAAGGGUUUUAGGAGCUCUGUGCCAGAAGCAGAUGAAGACCAAAUAUA
Molecule: long non-coding RNA, 120 nt
Organism: Aethalodelphis obliquidens (Pacific white-sided dolphin)
Lineage: Eukaryota; Metazoa; Chordata; Mammalia; Artiodactyla; Delphinidae
Exons: 3
Source: RefSeq, a predicted model, not a curated record